UACGUAGGGUGCGAGCGUUGUCCGGAAUUACUGGGCGUAAAGAGCGCGUAGGCGGCACGGUACGACCGGUGUGAAAGCCCCCGGCUCAACUGGGGAGGGUCACCGGUAACGGCCGAGCUAUGAGUGCAGGAGAGGGAAGUGGAACUCCGGGAGUAGCGGUGAAAUGCGUAGAGACCCGGAGGAACACCAGUGGCGAAGGCGGCUUCCUGGUCUGCAACUGACGCUGUGGCGCGAAAGCUAGGGGAGCAAACGGG
Molecule: ribosomal RNA, 254 nt
Filed under: uncultured bacterium
Lineage: Bacteria
Description: partial 16S ribosomal RNA
Rfam family: Bacterial small subunit ribosomal RNA
Source: RNAcentral